CUGCCUGCCUUAAGCGAGUCAUAGUUACUCCCGCCAUUUACCCGCGCUUCAUUGAAUGUCUUCACUUUGACAUUCAGAGCACUGGGCAGAAAUCACAUCGCG
Long non-coding RNA from Gopherus evgoodei (Goodes thornscrub tortoise), 102 nucleotides. RefSeq lists it as uncharacterized. The record is from RefSeq and is a predicted model, not a curated record. The transcript has 3 exons. NCBI's taxonomy places the organism in Eukaryota, Metazoa, Chordata, Testudines, Testudinidae.